Non-coding RNA from Ectocarpus siliculosus, 76 nucleotides. The record is from the annotation of a GenBank genome assembly. NCBI's taxonomy places the organism in Eukaryota, Phaeophyceae, Ectocarpales, Ectocarpaceae.
CUCGACAUAGCUCAGCCCGGUAGAGCGACAGACUGUAGUGAUCUGUUGGUCCUUGGUUCGAAUCCGAGUGUCGAGA